Molecule: ribosomal RNA, 253 nt
Filed under: uncultured bacterium
Lineage: Bacteria
Description: partial 16S ribosomal RNA
Rfam family: Bacterial small subunit ribosomal RNA
Source: RNAcentral
UACGGAGGGUGCAAGCGUUGUUCGGAAUUACUGGGCGUAAAGCGCGUGUAGGCGGCCUUGUAAGUCAGAUGUGAAAGCCCUCGGCUUAACCGGGGAAGUGCAUCUGAAACUGCUUGGCUUGAGUACCGGAGAGGGAGACGGAAUUCCCAGUGUAGAGGUGAAAUUCGUAGAUAUUGGGAGGAACACCGGUGGCGAAAGCGGUCUCCUGGACGGAUACUGACGCUGAGACGCGAAAGCGUGGGUAGCAAACAGG